AUUGAACGCUGGCGGCAUGCCUUACACAUGCAAGUCGAACGGCAGCACGGGUGCUUGCACCUGGUGGCGAGUGGCGAACGGGUGAGUAAUACAUCGGAACAUGUCCUGUAGUGGGGGAUAGCCCGGCGAAAGCCGGAUUAAUACCGCAUACGAUCUACGGAUGAAAGCGGGGGACCUUCAGGCCUCGCGCUAUAGGGUUGGCCGAUGGCUGAUUAGCUAGUUGGUGGGGUAGAGGCCUACCAAGGCGACGAUCAGUAACUGGUCUGAGAGGACGAACAGUCACACUGGAACUGAGACACGGUCCAGACUCCUACGGGAGGCAGCAGUGGGGAAUAUUGGACAAGGGGCGAAAGCCUGAUCCAGCCAUGCCGCGUGUGUGAAGAAGGUCUUCGGAUUGUAAAGCACUUUAAGGUGGGAGGAAGGGCAGUAAGUUAAUAUCUUGCUGUUUUGACGUUACCAACAGAAGAAGCACCGGCUAACUUCGUG
RNAcentral lists this ribosomal RNA (486 nucleotides) under uncultured bacterium. RNAcentral describes it as "partial 16S ribosomal RNA". It matches the Rfam family "Bacterial small subunit ribosomal RNA", at positions 30 to 507 of the family's 1533-position model. The record is from RNAcentral.